Molecule: ribosomal RNA, 253 nt
Filed under: uncultured bacterium
Lineage: Bacteria
Description: partial 16S ribosomal RNA
Rfam family: Bacterial small subunit ribosomal RNA
Source: RNAcentral
UACGGAGGGUGCAAGCGUUAUCCGGAUUCGCUGGGUUUAAAGGGUGCGUAGGUGGGCAGGUAAGUCAGUGGUGAAAUCUCCGGGCUUAACCCGGAAACUGCCAUUGAUACUAUCUGUCUUGAAUACCGUGGAGGUGAGCGGAAUAUGUCAUGUAGCGGUGAAAUGCUUAGAUAUGACAUAGAACACCAAUUGCGAAGGCAGCUCACUACACGAAUAUUGACACUGAGGCACGAAAGCGUGGGGAUCAAACAGG